This is an RNA transcript of Rhinopithecus roxellana (golden snub-nosed monkey), 2013 nucleotides long. RefSeq lists it as uncharacterized. NCBI's taxonomy places the organism in Eukaryota, Metazoa, Chordata, Mammalia, Primates, Cercopithecidae. The transcript is spliced from 4 exons. The record is from RefSeq and is a predicted model, not a curated record.
GAAGAGGAGAACUGAAAACAAAGCGGGUUCAAAAAGAGUUAAGCUCCUUCCUUACUUAAUGCCACUGCUUUCCUGAGAGGCCAGGUGGCAGGAUGUGGGACGACACCGGCUGACAAAGACAGUCUAACCCUGGGGUAGGGGCUGGAGCAGGCGCCGGCGACCCACGUCUACAUGCAUACUUCUCUUUCACUGCUGCAGCUGGAAACGCUGGACCCCGCGCCAGGACCCCAGCCCCAUGCACGGACCCCUCAGCUUCUGGGAAGCUGUCUCUGGGACUGAAGCCCCUCACCUCCGCCGGGCUGGCGGCCAAUGCAGUACCCUACUCCCCGUCGGGCUGGACCCGCACAAUUUGGGAAAAAGCCGCAGCGCUUCUGCAAGGUCUACGUGGCCAUGAGCAUGCAACGCUUGGCUCUCAAAAAGAUACGAAAGGGGCAAAGCAUCAACGACCACCCGAUCAGAGGGCCCGAAGGGCGCCUCUUCACCAGUCAGCUGCUGCUUAAGUUCCGUGCAUUAUCCGAAAGGAACAGCUGGCUGGAGGUAUCCAGGGCUGUCACUCCAACCUCUGGAGCGGUGACCUCAACUCCCAGCACUUCAAAACCCAGACAGAAACAAACAUCCAACAAACUCCCACUCCAGGAGCGCUGCAAAACCAACGCCAGUUGUUUUUCUGCAGAAAAUCAUCAACUGUGGAGAAGAAGAAGGGAAAUAAGAAAAAAAGAAAACCCUAAAAACCACCCUGGCGCCCGGGCCCGCAGGCCUCGGCUGGCUCUGAAAAGUUUGGGCUGUGCACGUGAUGAGCGCGUAGGCGGGAGCCCCAGACAGGACCCGGGCGGGGAUUUCGAGAAAAAGCAACAGUGACAGCCUUUGGUCCCCAUCUCUAUUGUUCCUGCCAGCUCUGGACCCCAGGCUGCAUGAGACGUAGGUCCCAGGGAACACCCGACCCCGUGGCCCCAGUCUUAGCUUCCACUGUCCCUGUCUGGCUCAUGUCUUGCUCUCUGGUGUGAUGAGCUGGGAGUGCAGUAAGGAGGAGUGGCAAGCCCGAGGGGCCAUGUUCAUAUCUGCCACUGCCAACUGUCCUGAUGUAAAUGCUUUGUCAUCUUGCCUGCCAGGAUUUGUGACAAGGGCAGGAAUCUACUGUUCCAUAUGCAGUAUCUUCUGGCAGCCUUGUCCUCUUUUUGUCCUUGUCGACUACAAUAACAAACAGCUGUUGCCGAGGCAUUGCUGUUGACGUGUUACCUUUGAAACCUCCCUCCUGUUAUGGAAUAAGCCUCUUCCAGAUAGUGGAUCAUUAAAGCAGCCUUGUUGCCACGGAGACCCAAAGGGAUCAGGCGUGGCGUUUGCUUGCAUCAUCAUCCUCUCCGGGGGAACAACAAGGACUCUUCUGCGUCACGCGUGGCUGUCCUGGGGCUGGCUGCCACCAGACUUUCCCUGCGGGUAAAACCUAAACAAAUGACCAGCUGCAGAUAAUAUCAAGACUUCUGUUUGAUAUGUUAAUAGUGACAACCAUAUUUCCACAAUUAACAACGGUGGGAAGAAAACACUGUAGUCACCAGACUUGGGAGGAGAGGGUUUGUAUUCACAUAAACACAACCUCACGUCACUGCUUGCCACCACAAAGGUCUCUGUUCACUGUUUUGUUCUUGAAGAUCAUCCUUGUGCUCAUCCUCUGAUCUUGAAUUUCUACAUAACUUUCUCAGUUUAUAUGCCCUGUGGCAAGUGCAGCAAGCACUGUUUCCUGUUUCUAAACUUGUAGAAAAUCAUCCAUACAUCUUACAGUUGUCAGUUUUAACCAGAUAACAGCGGCACUUUGUUGCUGCUUUUUUAUCUUUAGCUUAGGUUAACAGGACCUUGGAAGUAAAGUUGUAGAUUUAUUCAAUAGAGUAUUCUUAAUUAAUUUGGCUAGAUUUCUACAUUAUUCAAAAUCCAAAAAAGCAGAAAUGUAUGCUUACAUGUCUAAGACCUGAAAAAUCCAUGGUGACAUCCCAAAAUAAAUGAAGAUUUUAAAACAAUAAA